ACUCGUCCCCUCUUCUCUCUCACUGAAUAUAAUAUAUACGUAUAUAGUUUGUAUCUUCUACCACCGUAAGAUAUAAUUUUUUCUCGUUGAGUCUCGUGACUUCUCUAUUAUUUUCUUGAUCAUGUAUCGUGUGAAUUUUUAAUUCUGAAAAUUCUCAAAAGUUGUUAAGGAAAAUGGAUUGACAGAGUUGGAGGUAGUUUUGGUUGCGGACAUCAAUGUAUGUAAAGGCUAUAUUUUUCUCUUUUGGAAUGAUUUCUACCUAUGACGUUCUGGAUCUAGCAUGUUAUCAAAGAAGUAAUUUUAAACCACUCAAGUGAUGUAUCCAUACUCAAUUUAUUUUCCCUAUAUUUGACAACCAAAACUUUUCUCCAAUUCAAAUAUGUUAUCCAAGGUUUCGAAGAUGGCAAUUAUGCAGUUGGACGCUUGUCACUACUCUGUUUAGGGUCAUUUAAAACCAGUUCUUGUGUCAUGAGAACCUUAUUUAUUU
This 487-nucleotide long non-coding RNA is filed under the name Capsicum annuum. Its description in RNAcentral is "long non-coding RNA (CANN_LNC005092)". The record is from RNAcentral. Lineage: Eukaryota; Viridiplantae; Streptophyta; Magnoliopsida; Solanales; Solanaceae.